AUGCGUAUCUUUGUCAAGACACCCACUGGCAGGACAAUCUGCCUCAAGGUCCACUCAUCAGACACCCUGUACACCGUCAAGGCAAAGAUCCAGCAGCAGUACCGCCUCGUCUUUGAUGGGGUGCAGCUAGAAGAUAACCGUACAUUGGCCGAUUAUGGCAUCCAGCAUGACUCUACGAUUGACCUCCAGGAAAAGAUGCAAAUUUACGUGACAGAGACGCGGGAAGGCAGGACCAUUGCCCUCGAGGUCGACAGCCUAGACACCAUCGGUAACGUGAAGUCCAAGAUCGAGGACAUGGAGGGCUUUCCCAAGGGCCAGCAGUGCCUCAUCUUCGCCAACAAAUAG
This 345-nucleotide ribosomal RNA is filed under the name Triticum aestivum (bread wheat). RNAcentral's name for it is "partial small subunit ribosomal RNA". Lineage: Eukaryota; Viridiplantae; Streptophyta; Magnoliopsida; Poales; Poaceae. The record is from RNAcentral.